GCCUCUGUGGUCCAGUGGAAGAGCGUUGGACUCCCGAUCCGGAGGCCCCGGGUUCGAAUCCCGGGUGGGGGCA
Pectinophora gossypiella (pink bollworm) is the source of this 73-nucleotide non-coding RNA. NCBI's taxonomy places the organism in Eukaryota, Metazoa, Arthropoda, Insecta, Lepidoptera, Gelechiidae. The record is from the annotation of a RefSeq genome assembly.